GUAAGUUUACCGCCGGGUGACCGUCUUGCAUUCAUUCCAUUAGGCCAUUGAAGGGAUGAGUGUUAGACGUUUUUUAUG
This 78-nucleotide non-coding RNA is filed under the name unclassified sequences. The record is from RNAcentral.